RNAcentral lists this ribosomal RNA (383 nucleotides) under uncultured eukaryote. RNAcentral describes it as "partial 18S ribosomal RNA". It matches the Rfam family "Eukaryotic small subunit ribosomal RNA", at positions 592 to 976 of the family's 1831-position model. The record is from RNAcentral.
CAAUAGCGUAUAUUAAAGUUGUUGCAGUUAAAAAGCUCGUAGUUGGAUUUCUGGCAGGAGCGACCGGUCACACACUCUGUGUGUGAACUUGUGUUGUCUCUGGCCAUCCUUGGGGAGAUCCUGUUUGGCAUUAAGUUGUCGGGCAGGGGACAUCCAUCGUUUACUGUGAAAAAAUUAGAGUGUUUAAAGCAGGCUUAUGCCGUUGAAUAUAUUAGCAUGGAAUAAUAAGAUAGGACUUCGGAACUAUUUUGUUGGUUUGCGUUACGAAGUAAUGAUUAAUAGGGACAGUUGGGGGUAUUCGUAUUUCGUUGUCAGAGGUGAAAUUCUUGGAUUUCCGAAAGACGAACUACUGCGAAAGCAUUUACCAAGGAUGUUUNCAUUAG